UCAAGCGAAGAAGGGCGCAGGGCGGAUGCCUUGGCACUGAGAGCCGAUGAAAGACGUGAUAAGCUGCGAUAAGCUUCGGGGAGGAGCAAAUAUCCUUUGAUCCGGAGAUCUCUGAAUGGGGAAACCCGGCUGUAUGGACUACAGUCAUCCAUAAGUGAAUCCAUAGCUUAUGGAAGGGAACCCGGGGAACUGAAACAUCUAAGUACCCGGAGGAAGAGAAAGAAACAUCGAUUCCGUAAGUAGCGGCGAGCGAACGCGGAAGAGCCCAAACCGUGAUGCGUGCAUCGCGGGGUUCGGACUGCAUAAGGGAUUCAGUAACGGCAGGAGAACGGCUUUGGAACAGCCGGCCAGAGAGGGUGAGAGCCCCGUAUCCGAAGCCAGAGCUGACCCGGCAGGAUCCAGAGUACCACGGGACACGGGAAACCCUGUGGGAACGAGCGGAGACCACUCCGUAAGGCUAAAUACUACUCAGUGACCGAUAGCGUAUAGUACUGUGAAGGAAAGGUGAAAAGAACCCCGGGAGGGGAGUGAAAGAGAACCUGAAACCCUGUGUCUACAAGCUGUGGAAGUGCUUUAUAUGCACGACCGCGUACUUUUUGUAGAACGGUCCGGCGAGUUACGCUUACUGGCAAGGUUAAGCACUUCAGGUGCGGAGCCGUAGGGAAACCAAGUCUUAAGAGGGCCUUAAGUCAGUAGGAGUAGACCCGAAACCGGGUGAUCUAUCCAUGUCCAGGUUGAAGCUGCCGUAAGAGGUAGUGGAGGACCGAACCCACAUCCGUUGAAAAGGGUGGGGAUGAGGUGUGGAUAGGGGAGAAAUUCCAAUCGAACCCGGAGAUAGCUGGUUCUCCUCGAAAUAGCUUUAGGGCUAGCCUCAUACAAGUCUGCCGGAGGUAGAGCACUGAAUUUCCGCGGGGGCGUCAAAGCCUACCAAAGAAUAUCAAACUCCGAAUGCCGGACAGAUGGUGUAUGGGAGUCAGACUGUACGAGAUAAGUUGGACAGUCAAAAGGGAAAGAGCCCAGACCGCCGGCUAAGGUCCCAAAGUGGGUGUUAAGUGGAAAAGGAUGUGGGAUCUCUAAGACAACCAGGAUGUUGGCUCAGAAGCAGCCAUUCAUUAAAAGAGUGCGUAACAGCUCACUGGUCGAGAGGUCCUGCGCCGAAAAUGUCCGGGGCUGAAACACCACACCGAAGCCGCGGAACCCGUAAGGGUUGGUAGAGGAGCAUUCUUAGGGGAGCGAAGCAUUACCGGAAGGGGAUGUGGACCGCUAAGAAGAGAGAAUGCCGGAAUGAGUAGCGAGAGCAAGGUGAGAAUCCUUGCGGCCGAAUAUCCAAGGUUUCCAGAGUAAAGCUGAUCUGCUCUGGGUAAGUCGGGGCCUAAGGAGAGGCAGAGAUGCGUAUCCGAUGGACAGCAGGUUUAAGAUUCCUGCACCCCUUGUUAUCAGAACUGCGGGGACACGGGAAGGGAAGCAGAGCCGGGAAUGGAAAGCCCGGUGCAAGCGAAGGAGUCGCAGGGUUGGAAAAUCCGCCCUGCAUGAGACGAAGGCGUGAUGCGGAGCGAAAUGAAGUAGUGAAGCUGCGGCCCCUUCCUGUCGAGAAAAGCCGCUAUCGUGUAGCAAGGGCCCGUACCGUAAACCGACACAGGUGGAUGAGGAGAGGAUCCUAAGGCCGGCGGGAGAAGUGUUGUUAAGGAACUCGGCAAAAUGACUCCGUAACUUCGGGAGAAGGAGUGCUGCGCAAGCAGCCGCAGAGAAAUGGCCCAAGCAACUGUUUAGCAAAAACACAGGUCUAUGCGAAACCGAAAGGUGAGGUAUAUGGGCUGACGCCUGCCCGGUGCUGGAAGGUUAAGGGGAGAGGUUAGCGCAAGCGAAGCUUUGAACUUAAGCCCCAGUAAACGGCGGCCGUAACUAUAACGGUCCUAAGGUAGCGAAAUUCCUUGUCGGGUAAGUUCCGACCCGCACGAAAGGCGUAAUGAUUUGGGCACUGUCUCAACAACACACCCGGUGAAAUUGAAAUACCAGUGAAGAUGCUGGUUACCCGCGCCAGGACGGAAAGACCCCAUGGAGCUUUACUCCAGC
This 2073-nucleotide ribosomal RNA is filed under the name human gut metagenome. RNAcentral's name for it is "bacterial LSU rRNA". It matches the Rfam family "Bacterial large subunit ribosomal RNA", at positions 3 to 2110 of the family's 2925-position model. The record is from RNAcentral.